CUUCGUUAUUUCGCCGCUAGCCGCUAGGUGGUAUCAAACGUGUGUCAGUAUGUGACCAGCAGAGUUCAUGGCGUACAAUACGUGCCACGACCCAUGGGGGAAAGAAUGCUUGAUAGGUUAAACAUCAUUCUUCCAUGCCAUAUUUGUUUGCAAUUAGAACAAUCUUGAAUCAAUUGGAUCUAACAUUUGAAAGAACAACUUUGCUGCAGGAUCAGCAAUUACAUUCAUGCAGUUCUGAUUAAGAAAUACUAAUCAAUAUUUUUAUACUACCAUGGAUGGCCUACAGAACAAGAAGGAAAGAAAAGGUUGCAAUGGAAAAAGCCAUAUCCCUUUCUAAUAAUGGAAGUUUGUGACAUUUUUAACGGAAGAAGACAACAUAAGCUAAUUGGUGUUAAAUGCAAAAUUGUAUAGAUUAAAAGGAAAGAAGAUUAAUGCUUCCUACAAAAAUUCAGGCUGUAGUUUGAGAUCUGGAUGGUUUUCUAAUUUCUUCAGUUACAAUGCAAGGGGUUAUUUAGACAGCACUGGAAUUCACCCAAAUUAAGUGAGUGAUCCUUAUAUUUGGUAACUUUUGUAAGUUGUUUAACCUAACAUUGGACUGUGCAGCAGAAGCAACUGGCAGAAACUGUUGUGAUUAUGUGUAAUAUGUAUUUAUUCAGAAAGAUGAGAAAAAAAAGUAUCACACUUAUGAAUAGGGAUUUCAUCAGCUGUGACUGAUAAAGAAUAGGGUUUAAAUAUGUUCGGUUUGAGACAAGAUGAUCAUUUGUUAAUAAGCUGUUCACACACCCUAAAUUGACGGCAACUACUGCAUUGGGGUAAAGAUUCUACAGGUGAGUAAUUACGGAUGUCCUGAUCUCUAGGAUUAACUUUAGAAGAAAGUCACCGCUUUGUGUAUUAAAGAGUUCUUCUGCAACCAAGUAGCGACCGGGGUUCGGCUUUGUGAAUUCAUAAUCGUCCAGUGUUUGAGUGUUUCUUUCAAUUCCCAAAAAUUAUUUCACUGUAAUGGCAACAAAUUAAAGGAACAGGACAAGAGUAGUUGACAAGGUAAUUUUUUUUAAAUUAUUAUUGAAAGUUCAUUGUGACAUUGUUAGGAUGUAAGUCAUUCGAUCUCUUAUUGCAGUCCGUUUGGUAGCUAAAUCCCGUUCACAAACAAGGCAAAUUACAUGAAUUUGCCAGUUGCAAUUUGCUCGUCAAUCGAAUUACAAAUGGCGUUCAUCAGUUUGGCAAUGAGGGUGUCAAUUCGUUUUCUCUUGUUACCAAUAGGAAUCGCAAUUCGUUUUCAGAAUUAUUUUAAACUUGCAUGGUUCAUUAGACAGGGGCUGCUCACCGGAAAUGGGAACUAAUUCUGGAGGUAUUAAAGUAAUUUUGGUUUAUUGUUAGGUUAGCAAAGGUUUAGAGCUUACGAAUCCCACGUCGAGCGAUCCGAUUAUUUGUCAUGAAUCCAUUCCAUAUUUUCUGGAAUUAGAAGAAGAAUCGCAGGACACCAAGACUGACAGCAAGACGCCAGGGAUCAUAAACCAAUGACUAGAUAACCACGUUGGAUUGUUCCUUCGUGAAGAAAUGUAUCCCCGCUCUCUCCCUACAGUGGUAAUUGCACAUAAAGAAAACAUGUAUAGAAUGGUCAAAUGUCAAUACAGCAUCAAACAUCUAAUAAAGUUAAUCUCGCUAACUGUUUAACAUCUUCUCCUUGCUUGUUUUAAUGUCGUAUCACAAUUAACAUUUCACAAUGGCUAUAUCCAACAGUUAAAGCCAACAAAUUUUACAAAGUUGUAAUUCAGUCCACAUUGAAACCCAAACAAACAGAUUUACAUGCCACACCAGAGAUGAAGGGGCUCUGUGCCACACUAGCCAGUCUCUGCAAUUAAAAAGACCGUAUUUUCAUGUUAGGUGUAUAUACCAAAAAGUUUGCAUAUUUGGCCAAAAUUCAGUAUUUUUAUUUUGGUAAUAAAAAUUAUUCGCUGUGUCCCAAAUUGUAUGGAGAUUACAAGUCUCUGAUUCGUUUCGUUGUGUGCUUUGUAUUUCUGAAGUUCUUCGUUACUUCCGCUACACUUCCGUAAAUACAAUUCCGUGCAUAAAAGGCAGUAAGGCACCCUAAGUUAAAAAUCAAGUCGAUCAUAUACGAGUGUGUUCCAUAUUCCAGAAUGCCUAUUGUAUAAGGUUUUUAAAACCUUUGUUGCUUCGCAUUAAAACCUCAAAGAUUGAACGCUACCGUCGUCUGUCAUGUCCGCCAUUACCUACGUAGACAUGUAAACAUUUUCGCUCUGUUGUUUUUUCAAGUUUUUCCCUUGUUUUGUGCAUCUAUACCAACGAAGUUAAGAAGGUGGAAGCCUCUUAUGUUAACCAGCAAUGAUAAGUUGAAUGCAGAUAGCAAGCAAGCCAAUGCUCAGCUGGUGCUUUGAAAAUGCAAUCUUCUGAUUUUUCAAAGGUCAAUAAAAAAGAAAGUCCUGGUAGCCGCCUCAUCGUCGCCUUUGUCUUCGCCUUUGCCUUCGCCUUUGCCUUGGCCAUCGUCUCAUCGCCAUCUUCACCUUUGCCUCGGCCAUCGUCUCAUCGCCGUCUUCACCUUUGCCUUCUCCAUCAUCUCAUCGCCGUCUUCGCCUUUGCCUUCUCCAUCGUCUCAUCGCCGUCUUCGCCUUUGCCUUCUCCAUCGUCUCAUCGCCAUCUUCACCAUUGCCG
Molecule: long non-coding RNA, 2670 nt
Filed under: Daphnia magna
Lineage: Eukaryota; Metazoa; Arthropoda; Branchiopoda; Diplostraca; Daphniidae
Description: uncharacterized LOC116926343, transcript variant X14
Source: RNAcentral